UGCAGUCGAGCGGAAGGCCCUUCGGGGUACUCGAGCGGCGAACGGGUGAGUAACACGUGAGCAACCUGCCCCUGACUCUGGGAUAAGCCCGGGAAACUGGGUCUAAUACCGGAUACGACCGCCCCCGGCAUCGGGUGGUGGUGGAAAGUUUUUCGGUUGGGGAUGGGCUCGCGGCCUAUCAGCUUGUUGGUGGGGUAGUGGCCUACCAAGGCGACGACGGGUAGCCGGCCUGAGAGGGCGACCGGCCACACUGGGACUGAGACACGGCCCAGACUCCUACGGGAGGCAGCAGUGGGGAAUAUUGCGCAAUGGGCGGAAGCCUGACGCAACGACGCCGCGUGGGGGAUGACGGCCUUCGGGUUGUAAACCUCUUUCAGCAGGGACGAAGUUGACGUGUACCUGCAGAAGAAGCGCCGGCUAACUACGUGCCAGCAGCCGCGGUAAUACGUAGGGCGCAAGCGUUGUCCGGAAUUAUUGGGCGUAAAGAGCUCGUAGGUGGCUGGUCGCGUCUGCCGUGAAAGCCCGCAGCUUAACUGCGGGUCUGCGGUGGAUACGGGCCGGCUAGAGGUAGGUAGGGGCAAGUGGAAUUCCUGGUGUAGCGGUGAAAUGCGCAGAUAUCAGGAGGAACACCGGUGGCGAAGGCGGCUUGCUGGGCCUUACCUGACGCUGAGGAGCGAAAGCGUGGGGAGCGAACAGGAUUAGAUACCCUGGUAGUCCACGCUGUAAACGUUGGGCGCUAGGUGUGGGGAUCUUCCACGAUCUCCGUGCCGGAGCUAACGCAUUA
RNAcentral lists this ribosomal RNA (784 nucleotides) under Nonomuraea sp. Its description in RNAcentral is "bacterial SSU rRNA". It matches the Rfam family "Bacterial small subunit ribosomal RNA", at positions 56 to 862 of the family's 1533-position model. The record is from RNAcentral. Lineage: Bacteria; Bacillati; Actinomycetota; Actinomycetes; Streptosporangiales; Streptosporangiaceae.